CCUACGUGAGGCAGCAGUGGGGAAUAUUGGGCAAUGGGCGCAAGCCUGACCCAGCAACGCCGCGUGAAGGAAGAAGGCUUUCGGGUUGUAAACUUCUUUUCUCAGGGACGAAGCAAGUGACGGUACCUGACGAAUAAGCCACGGCUAACUACGUGCCAGCAGCCGCGGUAAUACGUAGGUGGCAAGCGUUAUCCGGAUUUACUGGGUGUAAAGGGAGUGUAGGCGGGAAAGCAAGUCAGAUGUGAAAACCAUGGGCUCAACCUGUGGCCUGCAUUUGAAACUGUUUUUCUUGAGUACUGGAGAGGCAGACGGAAGUCCUAGUGUAGCGGUGAAAUGCGUAGAUAUUAGGAGGAACACCAGUGGCGAAGGCGGUCUGCUGGACAGCAACUGACGCUGAGGCGCGAAAGCGUGGGGAGCAAACAGGAUUAGAUACCCUAGUAGUC
Molecule: ribosomal RNA, 443 nt
Filed under: uncultured bacterium
Lineage: Bacteria
Description: partial 16S ribosomal RNA
Rfam family: Bacterial small subunit ribosomal RNA
Source: RNAcentral